RNAcentral lists this long non-coding RNA (224 nucleotides) under Carica papaya (papaya). Its description in RNAcentral is "long non-coding RNA (CPAP_LNC012740)". The record is from RNAcentral. Lineage: Eukaryota; Viridiplantae; Streptophyta; Magnoliopsida; Brassicales; Caricaceae.
UUUAACAUUAUUACUUGAGUAAGAUAAUACAUUGUUUUUUUUAGAGGCAACCAAUAAUACAUAAGUUAAUGAUGAACAAUCAUAUUAUAUAACCAUCAUUUACAACUUUUUUAAUAUUUUAAUUGCUUUUUAAAUUAUUUUCUCAUUGUUUUGCUUAUCAAGUUUGGAAUAUUCAAGCAUGACUAAAAUUUUGUACAUAAUUAUUUACUUAAAGAUGUUUAUGU